This 305-nucleotide ribosomal RNA is filed under the name uncultured bacterium. RNAcentral describes it as "bacterial SSU rRNA". It matches the Rfam family "Bacterial small subunit ribosomal RNA", at positions 333 to 655 of the family's 1533-position model. The record is from RNAcentral.
GGAUUCCUACGGGGGGCAGCAGUGGGGAAUAUUGCACAAUGGGGGGAACCCUGAUGCAGCGACGCCGCGUGAGUGAAGAAGUAUUUCGGUAUGUAAAGCUCUAUCAGCAGGGAAGAAAAUGACGGUACCUGACUAAGAAGCCCCGGCUAACUACGUGCCAGCAGCCGCGGUAAUACGUAGGGAGCGAGCGUUGUCCGGAAUUACUGGGUGUAAAGGGAGCGUAGGCGGGAUUGCAAGUUGGAUGUGAAAACUGCGGGCUCAACCCGGAGCGUGCAUUCAAAACUGCGAUUCUUGAGUGAAGUAGG